RNAcentral lists this ribosomal RNA (494 nucleotides) under uncultured bacterium. RNAcentral's name for it is "partial 16S ribosomal RNA". It matches the Rfam family "Bacterial small subunit ribosomal RNA", at positions 28 to 507 of the family's 1533-position model. The record is from RNAcentral.
GACGAACGCUGGCGGCGUGCUUAACACAUGCAAGUCGAACGGUGAAGCGCCUUCCUUUUUGGUGGGUGUGGAUGAGUGGCGAACGGGUGAGUAACACGUGAGUAACCUGCCCCCUUCUUCUGGAUAACCGCAUGAAAGUGUGGCUAAUACGGGAUAUUCUGGGUCUGUCGCAUGAUGGGUCUGGGAAAGAUAUUGUUUCGGUGGGGGAUGGGCUCGCGGCCUAUCAGCUUGUUGGUGGGGUGAUGGCCUACCAAGGCGGUGACGGGUAGCCGGCCUGAGAGGGUGGACGGUCACACUGGGACUGAGACACGGGCCAGACUCCUACGGGAGGCAGCAGUGGGGAAUAGUGCACAAUGGGCGCAAGCCUGAUGCAGCGACGCCGCGUGAGGGAUGGAGGCCUGCGGGUUGUGAACCUCUUUCGCCAGUGAAGCAGGCCUGCCUCGUUUGUGGGUGGGUUGACGGUAGCUGGAGAAGAAGCGCCGGCUAACUACGUG